Molecule: long non-coding RNA, 3502 nt
Filed under: Gallus gallus (chicken)
Lineage: Eukaryota; Metazoa; Chordata; Aves; Galliformes; Phasianidae
Description: lncRNA (ENSGALG00010007103.1)
Source: RNAcentral
AUUUCUUAGGGGAGAUUUUUUAAUUGAUUUUAAAUAUAAGUACCUGCUUACAUACUGUCUCACUCCAAUUUAUAGGAGGGAGAGGAGGUUCUUUGAAAUAUGUAUGCCCGGCGUGAGAUUAAGAAACAACGGUUCAAAUGUUGGUCCGAACAGUUUAUUACAAAUGUUAAUAAGGGAGAUGGGGAAAGGGGAGGACGGACACUAUUAAGGGUUGGGGUGAUGGGGAAGGGAAGGCGAGCGAUGGAAAAGAUAGAAAGAGGCAAGAAUUGCAUAAAGCGGGGAUAGUUACCACCAGAAUCCGGCAGCAGUCCUGUAGCACGACGUUCCGACGCCGAAGGGCAGGAGCAGCGAGGCCGGUCUUGGGCAACGAGAGAGUGCAGGUCAGGGAGGAAGCAGCAGGUCUCAGGUAGCAGGCCCAGGGAAGUCCGUCAGCAAACGGUCCGUAGAGAAGGAUCUGAAGGCAGAAAGCUCGUGUCGUGGUGAGAGAUCAGCCUCCACCUAGCCGUGGUUGUUGGACCCUCUUUUAUCCUCCAUUUUCUGCUGCCUACGUGACAUUCCUGGGUGCUUGAGCAAGAGUCCUGUGCAUACCUCCUGAGAUGGCCAUUUUCCUUGAGAUAAGUCCACACAAAAAGACCGUUUCCCGGCCAUUAGCAGCAGCUUAUCUCUCUCUCGAUGCCCCUGGCCUUGUCCAGCUGUGCUCCUUAGAGGAUUUCACAAUCCUUAGCCAGGACCUGUCCAUCAGUGUCCUCAAGACAAAAGAUUUCUCUGCCUUUGCCCAGGACUUGCCUGGACUUGUUCCUCAGCAAACUUUGAGUCAAUGAUAUAAAAGAAUAAUCUCUUACACAUACAUACAAAAUAGUGCAUAUUAAUGUGCAAAUGGGUAAUCAUUUGUGCAUAGCAAAUAUAAUUUUCAAAAGUUUUUUGCUUGCUUGUUUCACCUUUCCAGAUCUAUCCCAGCAUGAUUUUUAACACAAAUUUUGAAACAACUUAAUAGAAGCCCAUAGGAAAAUUACAAUAGCAGCUGCUGAUUCUUGGAUUCUUGGAAUCUGGUUGAUAUAUUGACCUGAAAACAUCAUGUCAACAGUUCACAGAGUGUACAUUUGAGGAUUUAAAAGUCCCAAAUGAAAAUAUUUUACAUUCCUCAGAAGAAUAACAUACAUUAAAAAAUUCCCAUUCCUCGGUGCCAAAGACGACUGAAAUGUCCAGGCUGAAUUUACCCCAGCUGCAUGUGCUCUUUGUGAGUGGUGAUGGGUUCAGCCUGUGAUGUGGAUGCAGGGAGUGCUCACAUUACCCUGCCACAAAUGUGUUGCAUCCUCAUGCCUUGUAAAGGGGACAAUGUGGUAAUUGAAGCUCCCACAAACUAAAAAGCUGGCUGCAGUGCAAUUCACUAUUUAUGCACUUCAGUUUCAUCUGUUGUGUUGAGAUCCUACUGGCUAUACUGAUUUCUACUACAGGCAUUUUAGAGAUGUUUUUUAUGCUACUGUUUUGGGAAAGGUACUGGGAAAAAAUGAUGUCCCAGUGCCUCCUCACACUGAAGAGCUAUAUUUGAUCAAUCCUUUCUCUUGUGAGGGAGGCUCAAAUGUGUCUUUAGUGUGUGUUACACAUGUACUAGAAGUGUAUCUGCUUUUGAGAUGAUUAACAUCACUUAAUUUACUGAUUUAGAGAGAGAGAAGAAUGAUAACAUAUUAAAAACCCAGCCAUAGGAGAGAGAAGAUAAAGCCCUGUUUUCAACUCUUCCUGUUAGCUUAAACUUUUCCAUCUUUACAAUGUAAGCAGUAGUUUAAAUUUAUAAGGGCUAAUAACUUAAAGGUUAAAGCAUUAAUAUUUUAUGAGAGGUGUUUUUUUUUUAAUCUUUAUACAGAUAGUGCUAUGAAAAUAGUCUGACAAGUUAGUUUCAUUAUGAAUUAGCUCUUUUCAGCCAAUUUCCUUUUAUUCGUAAAUCUAACAGACUUUUUUUCUCUGCUUUUACAGGGAGUAAUGGAAAACCAUGAAAAUCUUACUUUUGUCCUAACAUUUCCAGAAUUCUGUCUCAUUGAAACAUAGCUCAUACUUUUCUGAAAGCAAGACAACCUUUGUAGACAACAAAACAAGACUUCAGUUAAAAGCAAUUGAGACCUGUAUAUAACCAUGCCUAAGCUGCUGAAGUUUCCGCUGUAUUUUCUGCCAAAGUUCAUCUUCUGCCAUUCAGAGUAAUUCUUAUAGCACCUGCAAAAAAAAAUACUACAAGGACUGUUGCAGUCCCUUUACAGAAGUGAGCAAAACUCCUUUUAAGGACUAUGGGUCUUUUUCUACGUAUCUCUUUAUGUCCUCUUCAUCUACCUUCAUAUCUAUACCAAAUCAUAAGGUGUAUUAAAAAUAUAAUUUGGUAGGAAGUUUUUUUUACAUUGUUGAGAGCUGCAACAAGGUUAACAGGGAUGUUCUCAGGCCUAGGAUGAUCAAACACAAAACACAACUUUAACUAUCAAGAUUGAGCUGUGAAAUUAAUCUAAGUUCACUAUAUCACCAGCAGAUUUACAAACCAAGAAGUUAUAGCUUUCUUUCUUUCUUCCUCAUCUCCCUUUCAGAAUUACCAGUUAUCUCCAAAGAGAACACAGCUGAAUAAUGUGCUUCAGUUGGCCAACUCUAUUGCUUGCUGUUUAAAGCUCCUCUAGAACACAGAGAAGAGAUUGGCAUUCUACAUCUUGUAUGAGCUUCAAAAUCAUUCGCAGUCUUUCUUUUUCUGGUCUCUGCUUCAAAACUUCUUUUUCCUUCUUCUCACUCUUCCAUCUCUUUUCCAUCUUUGUGGUCAGCUUUAUUCCAAUGCUUUAAGUAGUUAAAGGUUUUUAAAGUGGACUUGGAAACUCCAAAUCUUGGUUACACUUGAAUAAGCAGAACCAGGGUCCAGUGUUUCCUGAUUACCUUAUAUGGCAGCACUGGAAAGCAGUCUCUCAGCUGUGCUGAAAAAAUGUAUCUAAGUUCAUUAUUACUCUAUUUUAAAUGUACAGUUUCUUCUAAUGAGUUGCUGAUAAAAUAGUUGAUGGACAAUUUAAUUGUAUAUAUUUCAGCAAAGCAUAAUACAACAAUCUGCCAUAAGAAAUAAAAUGUAACUUUUCCUCUGUUGGUUGCUUGUAUUUAUCAUACUUAGUAGGUGAAAUGUUCUAAAUCUUCUAAAUUACAAAUUAUCCAUAGUGCCAUCUUGGAUGAAAAAAGGAAAGCAGAGACUUCUUGUUCUAGUAAAUAACCAAAAAAGUAAAAUGUUUAUGACUUCUCCUUAGCAGUCUGGAAAGAGGAAGAAGGAGAGAGAGAAACACUAGUUUGUUUACUCAGGCUGCUAGAUGUCAUGACCCUGCUGUGUGCAGACUGUCCCUUCUUUCAGUUAGAAUGACUGGCAGUUGUGAACACAUGUCAUUCCAUGUCAGAAACCAUACAUGGGCACCCUGGCUAGAACUGCUUGCUGACACACAGAAAUUAUCCAAGGAUACAAUUUUAUUUAUCAUAGUAUGUGUUUCAUGGUAAAAAUGUG